Molecule: unclassified non-coding RNA, 874 nt
Filed under: Agrilus planipennis (emerald ash borer)
Lineage: Eukaryota; Metazoa; Arthropoda; Insecta; Coleoptera; Buprestidae
Description: cyclin-dependent-like kinase 5, transcript variant X2
Source: RNAcentral
AAGAAACUGGAAAAUUCCGUAGUUGUUUCCUAUUUUCGGGCAAUAAUGUGUAUUCAUUAAAUCGUUUUCGAAAAAUUGCAAUUUGUGCAGGUUCAGCCAGCAGAAUAUGUGUCGAAGUCAAAAGCGAAAUAUUAAUAUUUGUAUUUUCUAACGAUGACAUAAAUAUUUCUUUUAUUAUCAGAAAUGUUGUUAAUAAAAACAUCAUUUGUUGUUAUCGAGUUAGAAAGUGUUACCUACCCAUUGAUAAAACCAAUGCAGUAAUUUGUGCAAUGUGGAGCAUUUCUAAAAAGUGCCCAGGGAACUAAAACUACUUCCGAAUCAUUCACUGCAGGAACAUCAACCAUCAACUGAAGUUCAUCACCAACCCUUGAACCCCAAUUCAAGGACAUCAGGACCUAUUUCAGUCGAGGAAUCAUUCACUGCAGGAACAUCAACCAUCAACUGAAGUUCAUCACCAACCCUUGAACCCCAAUUCAAGGACAUCAGUACCUAUUUCAGUCGAGGAAUCAUUCACUGCAGGAACAUCAACCAUCAACUGAAGUUCAUCACCAACCCUUGAACCCCAAUUCAAGGACAUCAGUACCUAUUUCAGUCGAGGAAUCAUUCACUGCAGGAACAUCAACCAUCAACUGAAGUUCAUCACCAACCCUUGAACCCCAAUUCAAGGACAUCAGUACCUAUUUCAGUCGAGGAAUCAUUCACUGCAGGAACAUCAACCAUCAACUGAAGUUCAUCACCAACCCUUGAACCCCAAUUCAAGGACAUCAGUACCUAUUUCAGUCGAGGAAUCAUUCACUGCAGGAACAUCAACCAUCAACUGAAGUUCAUCACCAACCCUUGAACCCCAAUUCAAGGACAUCAGUACCUAUUUCAG